GUAGGUGGCAAGCGUUGUCCGGAAUUAUUGGGCGUAAAGCGCGCGCAGGCGGUUCUUUAAGUCUGAUGUGAAAGCCCACGGCUCAACCGUGGAGGGUCAUUGGAAACUGGAGAACUUGAGUACAGAAGAGGAAAGCGGAAUUCCACGUGUAGCGGUGAAAUGCGUAGAGAUGUGGAGGAACACCAGUGGCGAAGGCGGCUUUCUGGUCUGUAACUGACGCUGAGGCGCGAAAGCGUGGGGAGCAAACAGGGAUUAGAUACCCUGGUAGUCCACGCCGUAAACGAUGAGUGCUAAGUGUUAGGGGGGUUUCCGCCCCCUUAGUGCUGCAGCUAACGCAUUAAGCACUCCGCCUGGGGAGCACGGCCGCAAGGCUG
This 374-nucleotide ribosomal RNA is filed under the name uncultured organism. RNAcentral's name for it is "partial 16S ribosomal RNA". It matches the Rfam family "Bacterial small subunit ribosomal RNA", at positions 527 to 896 of the family's 1533-position model. The record is from RNAcentral.